GAAGGACCAAGGUCCAAAAGAUACUCAUCAAGCUCAGAAAUUAGAAGUCUCCAGGAGAAACCCUUGGAUUUAGGUGUGAAACUGAAUAAUCACAAGGUCAGGACAUACUGGGUCUUGCGCCCAAAUGUUACAAUCCUCGUGCCAACAAAGCAAUAAAGGAAAACAAAA
Triticum aestivum (bread wheat) is the source of this 168-nucleotide long non-coding RNA. RefSeq lists it as uncharacterized. The record is from RefSeq and is a predicted model, not a curated record. NCBI's taxonomy places the organism in Eukaryota, Viridiplantae, Streptophyta, Magnoliopsida, Poales, Poaceae. The transcript has 3 exons.